RNAcentral lists this ribosomal RNA (1780 nucleotides) under Zoophagus pectosporus. RNAcentral describes it as "SSU rRNA". It matches the Rfam family "Eukaryotic small subunit ribosomal RNA". The record is from RNAcentral. Lineage: Eukaryota; Fungi; Zoopagomycota; Zoopagomycetes; Zoopagales; Zoopagaceae.
CAGUAGGAAUAUGCUCGUCUUAAAGAUUAAGCCAUGCAUGUCUAAGUGUAAACAGUAUUUAUGCAAAGUGAAACUGCGAAUGGCUCAUUAUAUCAGUUAUUGUUUAUUUGAUGAAUGCUUUGCCACAUGGAUAACCGUGGUAAUUCUAUGGCUAAUACAUGCACGCCUGUAGCGGGCAGCCCAACUUCAUCGGAAGGGCAGCGUUUGUUAGCAUGACCGGCCUGGGGGUCCAAUCCCCCCAGUGAUGAUCCGUGACAAUUUAGAGCUGAUCGUAAGGCUUACGCCGACGACGUUUCAUUCAAAUUUCUGCCCUAUCAACCAGAUGGUAGGAUAGAGGCCUACCAUGGUUACGACGGGUAACGGGGAAUUAGGGUUCUGUUCCGGAGAGGGAGCCUGAGAAACGGCUACCACAUCCAAGGAAGGCAGCAGGCGCGCAAAUUACCCAAUCCUAAUACAGGGAGGUAGUGACAAUAUAUAACAAUACAGGGCCGUCAGGUCUUGUAAUUGGAAUGAGUACAAUUUAAACAGCUUAACAAGGAACAAUUGGAGGGCAAGUCUGGUGCCAGCAGCCGCGGUAAUUCCAGCUCCAAUAGCGUAUGCUAACAUUGCUGCAGUUAAAAAGCUCGUAGUCGAACCUGAAGCUGGGGGUGGCGGGGGGCGUUGAAUUAUCCGUCGCUCGGCCAUUGCCAGCACCUGGGCAUGAACGUUUGGUCAGAUGCACAUUCGUGUGUGUGUGGCCGGACGGGCGCGCUGCAGGCAUUACCUUGAGUAAAAUAGAGUGCUCAAACCGAGUACCUGUUAGCCACGUAUACGAUUAGCAUGGAAUAACAGAGAGGGACGGUGGUCCUCUUAGUUGGUCAACCACAGUCAAUGAUUAAUAGGAACAGUUGGGGGCAUUCGUAUUGCUGCGUUAGAGGUGAAAUUCUUGGAUCGCAGCAGGACGGACUAGUGCGAAGGCAUCUGCCAAGGAUGUUUUCGUUGAUCAAGAACGAAAGUUAGGGGAUCAAAGACGAUUAGAUACCGUCGUAGUCUUAACCGUAAACGAUGCCUAUUGGCGGUUGGGCGACAGUCGGCAAGACGCGCCCAGAAGCCAAGUCGAAAGAUUUAAAUAGGGCUCCGGGGGGAGUAUGGUCGCAAGGCUGAAACUUAAAGGAAUUGACGGAAGGGCACCACCAGGAGUGGAGCCUGCGGCUUAAUUUGACUCAACACGGGAAAACUCACCAGGUCCAGACAUGGUAAGGAUUGACAGAUUGAGAGCGCUUUCAUGAUUCUAUGGGUGGUGGUGCAUGGCCGUUCUUAGUUGGUGGUGUGAACUGUCAGGUCAAUUCCGAUAACGAUCGUAACCUUGAUUUCUAGUUAGCAGAGCCCGCGCAAGCGGGGCCGCGCUUCUUAGCAAUGCCCCGGGUGUCUAGCCCGGUUAAUGGAAAGGCAAUAACAGGUCUGUGAUGCCCUUAGAUGUUCUGGGCUGCACGCGCGCUACACUGACAAAGAUAGAGAGUACAGCCUGUGUCGACAGACAUGGGCAAUCUUGGAAACUUUGUCGUGCUGGGGAUAGUCCAUUGCAAGUUGGACUUGAACGAGGAAUUCCUAGUAAGCGCAAGUCACUAGCUUGCGCUGAUUACGUCCCUGCCCUUUGUACACACCGCCCGUCGCUACUACCGAUUGAACAAUAGAGUGAGGCCUUUGGAGUGCGGGUGUGGGGCGGUUCGCCGCCGCCAGCUGCGCGAAGCUGGUCAAACUCUGUUGUUUAGAGGAAGUAAAAGUCGUAACAAGGUUUCCG